GACCCAUCUCACCACCACUGGACCCUUCUACAGGAUCAUCUCUGCUCCAACAGAGCCACAUCUGUCACUGCAGGAGGACUUGAUUGGACUGCUCCCAAUCCCCUGACCAACAGGGUGUCAGAGGUUUUGAUGGAGAGAUGUCUUCUUUAUCUGAAGUGUUGCCCUUCCACUGAUCUAUGCUUUUCUGCAUGGAGCUGCUUUGAAGCAGCACAGAACUCGGUGGGGAUAAAGCCGAAGCUGGAUCCAGGCGCGGGUCUGAGCUGGCCAAGGUGCUGAGGACGCUGCACACUCUGGGCAGGAAAGGCUCCUGUGCCUCCAGGCAGGACCUGAGUUCCACCCCGCUUCUGGCUUUGCAGAGUUUUCUAUUUGCUCAAGCUCUGGGCACCCCUUAACACAACAAACAGCACAGAAAGGGUCUCGUGGUCAGAGGCUGGAGAAGAGCUGGAUCCCUGGGGGUGGCAAAGCCCUGCUGGGGAACACUCGGGCUGGGUGUGCCCUGCCAUGGGAUUGUUUCACCUUUUUGUUCCUGGAGAAUCAGGAAAUUCUGAGUUGGGUUUCUGCUGGUCCCCUGUCCUUAAAACCAGCCUUGAUUUUGGCAGUGCCUGUGGAGGUCCCUGCCAGGCUCUGCAGUUUCCUUGGCUAUGCUUGUCUGGGGCUCUUUGCAGGCUGAGCUCUGAGUGGGGACCAGGAGCAAAGUGAGUAAAUCUCUACAUGAAAAUAAUCCUGCAUUUAAAUUUCAGUUCCCUGGAUUUGAUUUUGAGUUUUAGCAUUGCUGUCUGAGUAGUCACACUGAAUUUGUGGCUCAGUGCUCCUGCCCAUUGCCCUCCCAACCCUCUGAUUUAUUUCCAAUACCAUCAGCCCAGUUUCUCUAAUUCAUUUUAUUAUCUUGGCAGUGCUCUUAACCAGUGUCAGCCAAGGCAGUGCUUUUCUGUUACUGGUUUUUCUUCUGUAAAUUGUGAGAUGGAUAACUUCCCCUUUGCUGAUCAUUUAUCCAGUUUAUGAUAGACAAUAUCCCUGGUAAUACCUUAAGCAGAAGAGGAAUCUGGUUUGCAGCAUGCAUCAAACCACAGCUUGUUUAUUUAUUGAGUUCAUUUUAAUCUCUGGAUCUGUGAUCAUAAACUGCAAUGCAGUUAUUUUUUUAUCUCUAAAUUGGGGCAAUUGUGUGGUUGGAUUUAUGGAGAGAUUUAGUUAGAUGGAAAUUUUUUGUUUUGUUGGUUUAUUCUGAAAGCUGGAGAGCUGUGGAAAAAGCUGUUAAUACAAUUUUUUUCUGCAUGUGGGGAUUGUUAGGAUGCCUAGUCUCUUGUGGAGAAGCAGAAUUCACAAGUCUGUGGGUGAGUUUGCUCACUGCAGAGAUGUAAGAUAAUAAAGGUUGAGACUGAAUAGGUUUGUGAACAAUUUUUGGAAAUAUUAUGAUGUACAUCCAGCUCCCUUUAGCAACAGUAAAUUCACCACCAUGAAACAAAGGAAUAUUGAGGUAAUAUAAUACCCAGAUUUUAUGAUCAGAGUUUGUAUAUACCCAUUACGUCCUGUGUUUUCAGCUAAGUCUGCUGAUACCAAGUAGACAUACAGUAGAAGAUGGAUUUGGGUAAGGGAGGGUAUUUUUUAUAAAGUUCUGUCUAAUAUCAGGAGGAUUUGAAAUGUUUUUCCUUUGCCUCACAGCAGAACUCUCCCCUCAGGAAGUGAGCUGGCAGUUCCAUGUGACCAGGGCUUUUCCUAUGUUGCCAUUUUCAGCUGAGCUGCUGCCACUGCCUUUGGACAAACUCUGUGUCAUGGCAGUGGUGAAUUGAAAUUUAUUUACUGCAGGAGUCCUUACUGAAUUUACAGUGCACCAGAGCAGGCUAAAAGCCUGCACCAGUUGCAGUGGCUGAGAUGAAGGGCAGUAACUUAUAAAGCUUUUGUAAUCUAAUUGUACUUUAGUUGUGUGUUUUUACAAUCUUCUUCCCAGGCACUAUAUUUAACAGCCUCUGGAAUUUAUAAUGGAUUCCAAUAGUGUAUCACAAAAUUUUAGUAAAGACUUCUGUUAAAGCUAUCCUUUUUCUCAAAUUUGGUGUUAUUUCCUUCCUACCUACGACUCUCUGCCAUUUUGUUGCUGCAGUUUUAUGUCUGACAGGGAUGACUUGUACCCCUAAGAACUUGUGGGAUUGCAUUGAGGUUCAAGAUUCCUGUCAUAAUUUAUGCUAAUGUUUUAAUCAGAUGAAUUCUCCCCCCUUGUUUUGCCUAAUGAAUGUUGACCUUUCUCUCUGCUCCCCAUCUAAUAAUAUA
Molecule: long non-coding RNA, 2262 nt
Organism: Prinia subflava (tawny-flanked prinia)
Lineage: Eukaryota; Metazoa; Chordata; Aves; Passeriformes; Cisticolidae
Exons: 3
Source: RefSeq, a predicted model, not a curated record